UACGAACCGUCCAAACGUUACUCGGAAUCACUGGGCUUAAAGGGUGCGUAGGCCGCGCGGAGGGUGGGAUGUGAAAUCCCCCGGCUCAACCGGGGAAUAGCGUCCCAAACCGCCGUGCUCGAGGGAGACAGAGGUGAGCGGAACUGAUGGUGGAGCGGUGAAGUGCGUUGAUAUCAUCAGGAACACCAGUGGCGAAAGCGGCUCACUGGGUCUUUCCUAACGCUGAGGCACGAAAGCUAGGGGAGCGAACGGG
This 253-nucleotide ribosomal RNA is filed under the name uncultured bacterium. RNAcentral's name for it is "partial 16S ribosomal RNA". It matches the Rfam family "Bacterial small subunit ribosomal RNA", at positions 524 to 776 of the family's 1533-position model. The record is from RNAcentral.